UUUGCCUACGGGGGGCAGCAGUGGGGAAUAUUGGGCAAUGGAGGAAACUCUGACCCAGCAAUGCCGCGUGAAUGAAGAAGGUCUUCGGAUUGUAAAGUUCUUUAGUCAGGGAAGAAGUCAAUGACGGUACCUGAAGAAUAAGCUCCGGCUAACUACGUGCCAGCAGCCGCGGUAAUACGUAGGGAGCAAACGUUGUUCGGAAUGACUGGGCGUAAAGGGUGCGUAGGCGGUUGUACAAGUUAGAAGUGAAAUACCACGGGCUUAAGUCGGGUGCUGCUUCUAAAACUGUAUGCCUUGAGGGCAGG
RNAcentral lists this ribosomal RNA (305 nucleotides) under uncultured bacterium. RNAcentral describes it as "bacterial SSU rRNA". It matches the Rfam family "Bacterial small subunit ribosomal RNA", at positions 334 to 652 of the family's 1533-position model. The record is from RNAcentral.